CCUUUGUGGGAAAGUCCCUGGACACCGCGAGACCCACCUCGAUCCGCGGAGUUCAGG
Molecule: non-coding RNA, 57 nt
Filed under: Tripos fusus
Lineage: Eukaryota; Dinophyceae; Gonyaulacales; Ceratiaceae
Source: RNAcentral